GGAAGUUUGGGUGAGUGGCUGAAACCACCAGUUUGCUAAACUGACGUACUCGCAAGGGUACCGGGGGUUCGAAUCCCCCAGCUUCCG
This 87-nucleotide transfer RNA is filed under the name Bacteroides fragilis. Its description in RNAcentral is "tRNA-Ser". It matches the Rfam family "tRNA". From Rfam's summary of the family: Transfer RNA (tRNA) molecules are approximately 80 nucleotides in length. Lineage: Bacteria; Pseudomonadati; Bacteroidota; Bacteroidia; Bacteroidales; Bacteroidaceae. RNAcentral also lists the same sequence under 7 other names. The record is from RNAcentral.